Molecule: ribosomal RNA, 429 nt
Filed under: Gemmatimonadota bacterium
Lineage: Bacteria; Pseudomonadati; Gemmatimonadota
Description: Gemmatimonadetes bacterium partial 16S ribosomal RNA
Rfam family: Bacterial small subunit ribosomal RNA
Source: RNAcentral
UAGGGAAUCUUCGGCAAUGGACGAAAGUCUGACCGAGCAACGCCGCCUGAGUGAAGAAGGUUUUCGGAUCGUAAAACUCUGUUGUUAGAGAAGAACAAGGACGUUAGUAACUGAACGUCCCCUGACGGUAUCUAACCAGAAAGCCACGGCUAACUACGUGCCAGCAGCCGCGGUAAUACGUAGGUGGCAAGCGUUGUCCGGAUUUAUUGGGCGUAAAGCGAGCGCAGGCGGUUUCUUAAGUCUGAUGUGAAAGCCCCCGGCUCAACCGGGGAGGGUCAUUGGAAACUGGGAGACUUGAGUGCAGAAGAGGAGAGUGGAAUUCCAUGUGUAGCGGUGAAAUGCGUAGAUAUAUGGAGGAACACCAGUGGCGAAGGCGGCUCUCUGGUCUGUAACUGACGCUGAGGCUCGAAAGCGUGGGGAGCAAACAGG